GCCUUCUUAGCUCAGUGGUAGAGCGCGCCACUCGUAAACAGCUACGGCUGAUUCGGUAAUGGUGAGGUCGGUUGUUCAAUCCAGCCAGGAGGCA
Molecule: non-coding RNA, 94 nt
Organism: Cubamyces lactineus
Lineage: Eukaryota; Fungi; Basidiomycota; Agaricomycetes; Polyporales; Polyporaceae
Source: the annotation of a GenBank genome assembly